GACGGUACCUACAAAGGAAGCCCCGGCUAACUAUGUGCCACCAGCCGCGGUAAUACAUAGGGUGCAAGCGUUGUCCGGAAUUAUUGGGCGUAAAGAGCUCGUAGGUCGUUUGUUACGUCGGAUGUGAAAACCUGAGGCUCAACCUCACGCCUGCAUUCGAUACGGGCAAACUACAGUUUGGUAGGGGAGACUGGAAUUCCUGGUGUAGCGGUGGAAUGCGCAGAUAUCAAGAGGAACACCAAUGGCGAACGCUGGUCUCUGGGCCAAUACUGACACUGAGGAGCGAAGGUCUGGGGAGCGAACAGGAUUAGAUGCCCUGGUAGUCCAUACCGUAAACGGUGGGCACUAGUUGUGGGAACCUUCCACGGUUUCUGCGACGCAACUAACGCAUUAACUGCCCCGCCUGGGGAGUACGAUCGCAAGAUUAAAACUC
RNAcentral lists this ribosomal RNA (433 nucleotides) under uncultured bacterium. Its description in RNAcentral is "bacterial SSU rRNA". It matches the Rfam family "Bacterial small subunit ribosomal RNA", at positions 471 to 902 of the family's 1533-position model. The record is from RNAcentral.